Molecule: ribosomal RNA, 253 nt
Filed under: uncultured bacterium
Lineage: Bacteria
Description: partial 16S ribosomal RNA
Rfam family: Bacterial small subunit ribosomal RNA
Source: RNAcentral
UACGGGGGGGGCAAGCGUUGUUCGGAAUUACUGGGCGUAAAGGGCUCGUAGGCGGCCAACUAAGUCAAACGUGAAAUCCCUCGGCUUAACCGGGGAACUGCGUCUGAUACUGGAUGGCUUGAGUUUGGGAGAGGGAUGCGGAAUUCCAGGUGUAGCGGUGAAAUGCGUUGAUAUCAAUCGGAACUCCGGUGGCGAAGGCGGCAUACUGGACGUUAUCUGACGCUGAGGCGUGAAAGCCAGGGGAGCAAACGGG